GGGCAGCUAGUCUAACAAAGACAGUUGAUUUCGACUCAACCAAUUGUGGCUAAACUCCAUAGCUGCCCU
This 69-nucleotide transfer RNA is filed under the name Kaloula sp. East Luzon. RNAcentral's name for it is "tRNA-Arg". The record is from RNAcentral. Lineage: Eukaryota; Metazoa; Chordata; Amphibia; Anura; Microhylidae.